UAGAGACUCAGAGCUGCAUAUCAAUAAGCGGAGGAAAAGAAACUAACAAGGAUUCCCUUAGUAACGGCGAGUGAAGCGGGAAGAGCUCAAAUUUGAAAUCUUCAAGGUUCUACCUUGACGAAUUGUAGUUUAAAGAAGUGUUUUCUGUUAGAUGAGUAGGCAAAAGUUCCUUGGAAUAGGACAUCAUAGAGGGGUGAGAAUCCCGUAUUUGGUUAUUCAUUCUAGCUUUGUGAUACACUUUCAAAGAGUCGGAUUGUUUGGGAAUGCAGUCCAAAAUGGGUGGUAAAUUUCAUCUAAAGCUAAAUAUUGGCGAGAGACCGAUAGCGAACAAGUACCGUGAGGGAAAGAUGAAAAGAACUUUGAAAAGAGAGUUAAACAGUACGUGAAAUUGUCAAAAGGGAAGCGUUUGACACCAGUGUUGUUUUUCCGAAAAUCAAUUAUAAAUGUUUUGUUUCUGAGGAGUGAUGACUUCAUCGGCUUCCUUCUCUCUUCACGAAACUUUUGUAAUGCACUUUUCGGUUAACAAGUCAACAUCAAUUUCUUUUGUUGUAAAAGAGUAUUCGGAAGGUGGCUUUCUUUUCGGAGAAAGUGUUUAUAGCCCUAUACUUCUACAAUCGGAGAGAUUGAGGUCUGCAGCGUAGAUCCUUCGGGGUUAGAUACACUUGUGCUAAGUUAUAGCUUUUCAUAGACAACUUGUUGACUAUGUUUAGUCUUGUAGCUUACUCGCUUGUGCUAUUUUACCUACGCUUAGGAUGUUGAAGUCAUCGUAUCGCGC
Molecule: ribosomal RNA, 775 nt
Filed under: uncultured Neocallimastigales
Lineage: Eukaryota; Fungi; Neocallimastigomycota; Neocallimastigomycetes; Neocallimastigales
Description: partial large subunit ribosomal RNA
Rfam family: Eukaryotic large subunit ribosomal RNA
Source: RNAcentral